RNAcentral lists this long non-coding RNA (372 nucleotides) under Penaeus japonicus. Its description in RNAcentral is "uncharacterized LOC122254972". The record is from RNAcentral. Lineage: Eukaryota; Metazoa; Arthropoda; Malacostraca; Decapoda; Penaeidae.
UGUACCAUUUCUCUUGCAUCUUACGUCCGGUAUGAAACUUAACCUAUACCUACAACCUAUAUUUACAAACAACACUCCUUUCAGCGCGAGCGGAGUCUUAGACAUGUGAGGAAGCAACUAGCUACUCAGACAACCACAAUGGAGCGUGAGGGUAUAUAUGGAUCGCUGUUACAUGAGGUGGAAAGAGUACUCGAGAGCGCGCCGGAGCUGUCUGUGUGUCAGCUGUUUACACUCGAGCGCCAUCUUAUGUUGCCGAUGGCGGCCUCUGUCCUGACCUUCCUAUUCUUCACGGCCCAGUUUGGUCUUUACGAAGAUCCAAACUCUACCAAUGUCACCUGCCACAUCUCAUGAGUCCCCCCCCCCUCCCCCUCG